UUAAUAUUCCGAUACUAACAUAUACCUCGAUGGAGAGACGAAGGAACGUAAGUGCCGCCACCUGACGGAAUAGGUGGUUAAAGGGCGUAGGUAUAGGGGCAGAUUAAGAGUUAGUCCUUGCUGAAACCUGACAGUACAGAGAGCCUACGGGCAAUUUGAUAGAGCACCCAAGUCGACUUCCGAGAAAAUCUUCUAAGUUAUAGUAUAUGUUACCCGUACCGUAAACCGACACAGGUGGUCGAGGAGAGUAUCCUAAGGUGCUCGAGUGAAUCACGGUUAAGGAACUAGGCAAAUUAACCCCGUAACUUCGGGAAAAGGGGUCCCUACGCGAGUAGGGCGCAGCGAAGAGGUCCAGGCGACUGUUUAUCAAAAACACAGGGCUCUGCAAAUUCGAAAGAAGACGUAUAGGGCCUGACACCUGCCCGGUGCUGGAAGGUUAAGAGGGGAUGUCAUCGCAAGAGAAGCAUUGAAUCGAAGCCCCAGUAAACGGCGGCCGUAACUAUAACGGUCCUAAGGUAGCGAAAUUCCUUGUCGGGUAAGUUCCGACCUGCACGAAUGGUGUAACGAUCUGGACACUGUCUCAACCGUGAGCUCGGUGAAAUUGUAGUCCCGGUGAUGAUGCCGGGUACCCGCAACGGGACGAAAAGACCCCGUGAACCUUUACUAUAGCUUAACGCUGAAUUUGGGUACACAAUGUGUAGGAUAGGCCGGAGGCUUUGAAGCGGGCACGCCAGUGUUCGUGGAGCCGACGUUGAAAUACGGCCCUUUGUGUAUUUGAGUUCUAACCCUGCGAAGGGGACACCGUUUGGUGGGUAGUUUGACUGGGGUGGUCGCCUCCAAAAGCGUAACGGAGGCUUCCCAAGGUACCCUCAGCACGAAUGGUAACCGUGCGCGGAGUGCAAUAGCAUAAGGGUGCUUGACUGUGAGACAUACAAGUCGACCAGGUACGAAAGUAGGGUAUAGUGAUCCGGUGGUUCUGCGUGGACUGGCCAUCGCUCAAAGGAUAAAAGGUACUCCGGGGAUAACAGGCUGAUCGCCGCCAAGAGCUCAUAUCGACGCGGCGGUUUGGCACCUCGAUGUCGGCUCGUCACAUCCUGGGGCUGGAGAAGGUCCCA
This 1115-nucleotide ribosomal RNA is filed under the name human gut metagenome. RNAcentral's name for it is "bacterial LSU rRNA". It matches the Rfam family "Bacterial large subunit ribosomal RNA", at positions 1430 to 2567 of the family's 2925-position model. The record is from RNAcentral.